Schistocerca cancellata (South American locust) is the source of this 299-nucleotide long non-coding RNA. RefSeq lists it as uncharacterized. The transcript is spliced from 3 exons. The record is from RefSeq and is a predicted model, not a curated record. Lineage: Eukaryota; Metazoa; Arthropoda; Insecta; Orthoptera; Acrididae.
UUUCGUUCUGGAUAGAAAUGACACGUACUUGAAACUACACAGCAGUUUAGUGAAGAAUAUACGACAUCAUGAAGUUAUUCUAACGUACAUCAAUGAUCUGGAAAUCGUGCUGAGCGCAUCUGUCUAUGUCCUGUUGCUUACGAAUGCACUAAAUAUUUGUUUGCAUUCUUUUGGAAUUGUAGCGCUGUUCCAGGAGGGAGCAACAAGCUCGACCGUAUUUAAGGAAGUGAUCUCGUUUGCAUCUUUCCUGGCUCAGACAGGCUUAUUCUGCUUCAUCGGACAGCUAAUAAUCGAUCAGG